RNAcentral lists this ribosomal RNA (308 nucleotides) under Scaptomyza nr. longipecten RL-2013. Its description in RNAcentral is "partial 16S ribosomal RNA". Lineage: Eukaryota; Metazoa; Arthropoda; Insecta; Diptera; Drosophilidae. The record is from RNAcentral.
CGAAAUAUUAACUGUUUCAUUUAAAUUUUUAUAGAAUUUUAUUUUUUAGUCAAAAAGCUAAAAUUAAUUUAAAAGACGAGAAGACCCUAUAAAUCUUUAUAUUUUGUUUAUUUUAAUUAUAAAGAUUAUUUUUAUUAUAAUAAAUUAAAAUAUUUUAUUGGGGGGAUAUUAAAAUUUAAAAAACUUUUAAUUCUUAAAACCAUUAAUUUAUGAAUAAUUGAUCCAUUAAUAAUGAUUAAAAAUUUAAGUUACUUUAGGGAUAACAGCGUAAUUUUUUUGGAGAGUUCAUAUCGAUAAAAAAGAUUGCG